Molecule: long non-coding RNA, 2486 nt
Organism: Danaus plexippus (monarch butterfly)
Lineage: Eukaryota; Metazoa; Arthropoda; Insecta; Lepidoptera; Nymphalidae
Exons: 5
Source: RefSeq, a predicted model, not a curated record
AUUAACUUUUCAAUCAUACUUAAUUCACGGCGGAGUUAAACUAAAUUGCGUCUAGAGUUUUAUGCCUUGCAGUAUUCCUAACAAAUAUUAUCGUGAAAUCAAAACAUCGUUUUGAAUUAUGAUAUUUGUAUUUGGCUGCGUCUUUCUAUUAGUGAAUUUAUCGACGCAAGCUUCCAUGAACUUAGUUGAAUCAUCUUGCUCUCAAGAAAAUUGCGAAAUACUCCAAUCUAGUAAAGAAGAACGUUACCCUGUAAACUAUGAAGAAGAAGAUUAUGCAAUGCCACAUUAUCAAGUCAGAAGAAUCAUAAAGAAAUAUAGGCCUGGUGCAAAAAAUUUAUAUAAAAAAGAUUCAGCACUAAAUAAGAAACUUUUGUUUCCAAUAGGUGCUGCUCUCAUCAUAGGAGCGGCAAAUAUCGUUGCUGCUGUCAUAAAGAAAUCCAAAAAAAUGAUUUAAAAGACAAAAAAAAAAUCGGAGUACAAGGCCAAAAUAAAUAUUUUCAAAUGAUAUUAAGUCCUAAGUAGAUUUAUAAUCAUUUUAUUUAAUAAAUUCAGCUGUGACAGAAACAAUAGAAAUAUAUUUUAUAACAAAUUGUCUAAUCAACAUUAUUCCUGUUUUCAUUUGUCAAUAAUGCGACUACACGAUUUGAGAGAACAAAUUCUUAGCCUGAAAACGGUAAUUUGUUAUGAACAUUCUACUAUUAGGGUAACUAUUAUUCGCUGUCAGAUCGUCCAAAUAAAAAAAUUGUAGUUACCUAUUACAAUAGUUUAUUUCGAUUUAUUAUCUCACAAUACCAUGUGAGGAGAUCGAAAAUAUAUUGAAUAUUUCGCGGGUUGAGUAUAGCCAACUCAUUAACUUAUUAAUUUUUCAAGUGUUCGUCGAUUGCGUCCAAUUAUAAAUUUUACGGCGACCAAUGUAUUAAAUUUAAUCUAGUUAAGGAAAUCAAAUGAAGCCGAAGACUUUGAUUAAACGGAAUCAUUCGCUAAUAAAGGUUCAAUAAAAACAAUAUUCUUUAAAGAAGAUCCAAUAAAAAAUGUUGAUCAAAUGGCUGGUUUGUGUAAUAUCGAUUUUGGUGCCAGCAAUCCUAACAACACAAGACUUGGUACCAUGGUCAAAAUCAUUACGAACUGAAGAAAUAAGAAAUUGGCCACCUCUUAUUGUACUGCUAUCGAAUAACAAAUACAACACUAGAGGAUGGGAUCAAAGGUCACACGUCAUCGACAAUCCAAGUGAAAAAAAGCUUAGGUUAAAAAAGAACAGAGGCUAUACGAAAAAAGGAAAAUAUAGAAAACAAGAAAAUCAUCCAGUCGAAAUAGUGAUCGAGGCUGGUAGAGCGAAAGAUAGGAAGGCAUUGGAAAAAAUAUUAUUAGUAUAAUAUAUAAAAAAAAAAAUAACAUUCGCAAUUAGGUUUAUUAAAACUUCUUAUUUAAUAAGCAAUGACUAUUAUUAAAUGGAUUUUCAUUUUUUAGUUUAAAUGUAAAGAUUAUAAACUUUAUCACUUUACUGUACCUAUUUUUCUAUUUAUUUAUUUUUUUGCUGAUAUCGUGGAAUAAUGUACUUCACAAAGUAUUAGCUAUCUGCUAAGAAUAAGUCUUAAACGACAAUUUGUUUUGGUUAACAUAACUAUAUGUCUUGUUCUCUGUAUAUCACAUGACCAUUGACCAUAAUGGAAGGAACAAAAAUGCUGUAACAUUCAAAGAUUGAUUUAGGACCUCAGAGAUUCUAUUUUGUGUUAUCCUUAGGGUUCUUGAUAAUGUGCGUUUAUUUAAAAAAAAAAAUUGCCAAACCCCUGUUGUUAUUGGAGCUAACGAUAACGAUUUGAAACAUUGGUGUGGAUCAAUAGACACUGGAUAUCAAAAUACAUGCAGUGUUAACGGCCUGAAGUCUAAACAGUUCCAUUACAUUCUAUCCAAUUAACUUCACAUAUAUAUAAACAACUAUAUCUUUCACAAAUGUUAAAUUGUUUGGGCGCUUCAUUCAACACGGGUAUGGUGCAAGCGGAAGAAAUAUAAUGAACACAAAACUGAUUAUUCUUGGUUGUGUAGCACUUUUGUUUCAACUUUCACUUCAGGCUGGACGGAAAAAAUGUCAUGACAAAAAUUGCAUGAAACGCAAACAGAAUAAUGACAAUGAUAUUGACGACACGAAAAACGCUGAUUAUUUUAAUAAAAAAGGAAUUGCCCCGAUGAUAAUGAUAUAUCCAAUAGGCGGCUUGAAGCGGGAAGAAAACAAAAAGUUAUCACAAGGAAAGAAAAAACUAAUUUUACCAUUCUUAAUAGCUCGUCUGCUGGAAAGGGCAUUAAUUGCUUCUUCAAUAAUGAAUAUGGGAAAAGGCAGGAAAUGAGAAAUGUUACUGAAGAUUAAUCACACUUUUAGACUGUAGUAAAUAACUUACAAGUCGAAAGUCUAAAAUAAAUUUAUGUUUUGAUAUUAUCUCAUUUUUCACAUUUUGUUGUUUCAUAAAAUAAUAUUUUUUCUUUUCAUCUGA